RNAcentral lists this ribosomal RNA (496 nucleotides) under uncultured bacterium. Its description in RNAcentral is "partial 16S ribosomal RNA". It matches the Rfam family "Bacterial small subunit ribosomal RNA", at positions 28 to 507 of the family's 1533-position model. The record is from RNAcentral.
GAUGAACGCUGGCGGCGUGCCUAAUACAUGCAAGUCGAGCGAACAGAUGAGGAGCUUGCUCCUCUGACGUUAGCGGCGGACGGGUGAGUAACACGUGGAUAACCUACCUAUAAGACUGGGAUAACUUCGGGAAACCGGAGCUAAUACCGGAUAAUAUAUUGAACCGCAUGGUUCAAUAGUGAAAGACGGUUUUGCUGUCACUUAUAGAUGGAUCCGCGCCGCAUUAGCUAGUUGGUAAGGUAACGGCUUACCAAGGCAACGAUGCGUAGCCGACCUGAGAGGGUGAUCGGCCACACUGGAACUGAGACACGGUCCAGACUCCGACGGGAGGCAGCAGUAGGGAAUCUUCCGCAAUGGGCGAAAGCCUGACGGAGCAACGCCGCGUGAGUGAUGAAGGUCUUCGGAUCGUAAAACUCUGUUAUUAGGAAGAACAAAUGUGUAAGUAACUAUGCACGUCUUGACGGUACCUAAUCAGAAAGCCACGGCUAACUACGUG